This 710-nucleotide ribosomal RNA is filed under the name Bacillus licheniformis. Its description in RNAcentral is "bacterial SSU rRNA". It matches the Rfam family "Bacterial small subunit ribosomal RNA", at positions 26 to 724 of the family's 1533-position model. Lineage: Bacteria; Bacillati; Bacillota; Bacilli; Caryophanales; Bacillaceae. The record is from RNAcentral.
UGAGAAACGGCAGAGCGGCGUGCCAAUACAUGCAAUCGCGAGCGGACAGAUGGGAGCUUGCUCCUUCGAUGUUAGCGGCGGACGGGUGAGUAACACGUGGGUAACCUGCCUGUAAGACUGGGAUAACUCCGGGAAACCGGGGCUAAUACCGGAUGCUUGAUUGAACCGCAUGGUUCAAUUAUAAAAGGUGGCUUUUAGCUACCACUUACAGAUGGACCCGCGGCGCAUUAGCUAGUUGGUGAGGUAACGGCUCACCAAGGCAACGAUGCGUAGCCGACCUGAGAGGGUGAUCGGCCACACUGGGACUGAGACACGGCCCAAACUCCUACGGGAGGCAGCAGUAGGGAAUCUUCCGCAAUGGACGAAAGUCUGACGGAGCAACGCCCCGUGAGUGAUGAAGGUUUUCGGAUCGUAAAACUCUGUUGUUAGGGAAAAACAAGUACCGUUCGAAUAGGGCGGUACCUUGACGGUACCUAACCAGAAAGCCACGGCUAACUACGUGCCAGCAGCCGCGGUAAUACUUAGGUGGCAAGCGUUGUCCGGAAUUAUGGGGCGUAAAGCGCGCGCAGGCGUUUUCUAAAGUCUGAUGUGAAACCCCCCGCUCAACCGGGGAGGGUCAUUGAAAACUGGGGACUUGAUUCAAAAAAGGAAAGGGAUUUCCCCCUUUACCUUAAAUUCGUAAAGUGGGAAGAACCCAUGGCCAAGGGCAC